RNAcentral lists this ribosomal RNA (256 nucleotides) under uncultured Gardnerella sp. RNAcentral describes it as "partial 16S ribosomal RNA". It matches the Rfam family "Bacterial small subunit ribosomal RNA", at positions 99 to 355 of the family's 1533-position model. Lineage: Bacteria; Bacillati; Actinomycetota; Actinomycetes; Bifidobacteriales; Bifidobacteriaceae. The record is from RNAcentral.
CGAACGGGUGAGUAAUGCGUGACCAACCUGCCCCAUGCUCCAGAAUAGCUCUUGGAAACGGGUGGUAAUGCUGGAUGCUCCAACUUGACGCAUGUCUUGUUGGGAAAGUGUUUAGUGGCAUGGGAUGGGGUCGCGUCCUAUCAGCUUGUAGGCGGGGUAAUGGUCCACCUAGGCUUCGACGGGUAGCCGGCCUGAGAGGGCGGACGGCCACAUUGGGACUGAGAUACGGCCCAGACUCCUACGGGAGGCAGCAGUA